UACGUAGGCAGCAAGCGUUAUUCGGAAUUACUGGGCGUAAAGAGUGUGUAGGCGGUGCUCUAAGUCUGUUGUGAAAUCUCCCGGCUUAACUGGGAGGGUGCGGCGGAGACUGGAGUGCUAGAGUGUGGGAGAGGUAAGCGGAAUUCCUGGUGUAGCGGUGAAAUGCGUAGAUAUCAGGAGGAACACCUGUGGUGUAGACAGCUUACUGGACCACGACUGACGCUGAGACACGAAAGCGUGGGUAGCAAACAGG
RNAcentral lists this ribosomal RNA (253 nucleotides) under uncultured bacterium. RNAcentral's name for it is "partial 16S ribosomal RNA". It matches the Rfam family "Bacterial small subunit ribosomal RNA", at positions 524 to 776 of the family's 1533-position model. The record is from RNAcentral.